ACUGCAGUUCAAUUGAUCGUGUGUUAGCAGAAACAUAAGAUCGUUUCAGUAUUUUUUUAACUAAAAUUUUUCAUAAAUUGUCAGGAUAAAAAUAUAUCAGUGACCAGUGACUUUAGGAUGGCAACGGCAUAUCGGCCAAAUGAUACUCAAUAUGAUAUCAUUUGUGUAAAUGCUCAGAGCGUUCUAGCGAAAGACAAAAAAUCGAAAGAGACAAAGAUUCAAAAAUUGGAAAAGAUGUGUAAACGUUUUAAUGUUUCCAUUUUGUGUUGUACGGAAGCUCGAAUUACAGAAGUCGAAAAGGACGAAUUGUAUACAAUUGAUGGAUAUUAUGGCGUUGUUUGUCAUUCUUUAUCCAGACAUACCGGAGGAGUUGUGAUGUAUAUAAAAAAUGAUCUAAAUUAUAAAAGUUUUCCUUACACAUCUACUCCACAUAUUUGGUGUUUGGCAAUUGAAAUCACUAAUUCAGAUAUUGAUGGUAUAUAUGGUGGAAUAUAUCGAUAUCAGGAUCAGACCAUUAAGAAUGUUGAUGCUGGUUUGAAAAUUUUAGAUGAUUUCUUGAAUAAUCAUUUGAAAACGGAUUCACACAAUGCGAAUAAAAGGCAAUUAUUUAUGGGUGAUAUGAACAUUGAUUUUAGAAACCCCAAAAAGGUAACUUUAUCCGGAAAGGCGAAUGAAAUAUUCAAAAAACACAAUUUGAUUCAUGCUCUAGAUGUCAAUAUAAUUACAAGAACAGGAAGGAAUAGUGAGACACAUAUCGAUGUUGUAGUUUCGAAUUGUAAAGAGGGUGAUGUAAUAUGUGAAAUUUUAAAAGAUGUUCAAAUUUCUGAUCAUGAAACAAUAGGAAUACGUAUAAAGCGUUCCGAAUCCGUGAAAGUGGAAAAUCAGGUAGAAAAGACAAUGAUUUGCACAAUUAGUCAAACUUAUGAUUUCCACCUAGUUGGAAAGAUCAGUUCAAUUGAAGACUCGAUUUGGUCGAACUUAUUUAUAUUUUACUCAAAUAUGGGGGUCCAAAAAAUAAGAGUGUCGAUAAAGUUGGCAAACCCGGCGGAAAGCAAACCUUUAUGGCAUCCUGAAAAUGUAUAUGGGCCUGAUGCUAUCCGAGUUGGUGUAACGAUCGCUCGAGGACGAAAUAUGUGAAAAAACGCUAUGAUUUUUCGUACAUUAUUUCCUAUUCAAGGAACCUUUUUUAGAAUAAACUCUCGUUUCUAUUCGGCUGAAGAGCUAUUAUAGUGUGAGAGUCCUACGGCAGGAACUAAGGAUGAACACAACAGCUUGGGAUUAGGCGUAUAAUCUUUAAAUCUCUAACGAACAAACGAGAAACUUUAAGAACGCGUGGGGGCUCUGUUUUAAUCACCAUGAGACUCUCUGUCGAUACAACUGAUAUUACAAAGUAGAUGGUCACUAGUUUCUGGACAUGCAAAUUUUUAAAGCCAUUCUGAAUCAUUACGUUUUUGGCUAAACUUUCGAUACAACUCCCGUUAGCUAAGAAUGGGAGAGUCUUUCCUGGCAGAAGAGUGAGAACGCAGAAAAGAGAGAUUAGUUUUUUUACUGGACAAUAUACUCGUCGAAUCGUAAAAGCAACAAAAUAUAGCUGACGGGAGGUUCGGAUGUAGAUUCUUUUAUUUCAAUUCCAAUAUUUAAAAAAAAAUCAAGAAACAAUAGAAAUUUCCUUUUUUUUGAAAUCGAAGGCUUCGAAAAUGUUGCUCACUCCGCUCGCGAUGCAUUCUUCAUAACUAUGUUUCUAGGAAUGAACCUAAACCAAAAAUAAAAUGAAAACAUUUCAGGGUCAGGAUUUGUUAAAAGUCAUUCUUCAAGGCAGUUGGUGGUCCCACAUGGAAGUAUGGAAGUGUCUGUGUGUGUCGCCACAGUUUGUAAUACCAACUUUGAUGAAAGUAUUAUUUAGCGCCCCUAAUCUAGCUAUUUUGCGCCUUUUUCCCGACAACUUAGAUAAGAUGCAAGAGUAACAAAAAUGCAUUGUUUUCAUUUUUUGGAAUUUUUAUAUCGUAUGGGCACACGUAACAAUGUUGGUAUAGACAAAAAUCCACGGAUAAUUUCCAAGUGAUACAAGGAUAUGCUGAUUGACUCAUCCGUUAAGUGUUAGGUGUUAUUGUAAAGGUAAUGCCAGAGGCUUUCGAGUUUCGAGUUGGCAUCUUGUCGUAAGUCGUAUAUUCAUUUGAAAUUUGCCUGACCUCCCGACCCGGGCGUUUAAUUUUUUUUUUUCUGCCAAAAGCUCUCGUUACAUGCAUCCAAUGUACGUCCCAUGAAUGUUUUGAAAAAACCCAAAGACUGGGUGAACCGAUUGGACUACUUUGACUGACUUGACAGAUCCUAAUGAACUUUAAAAUCGUUUAAUCGGUCUCUUCGGACUACUCUAGAGUGAAAUCAAGCAACUCAACUUAACAAGUCACCUCAGCAUCUGGAACCUACGUUCAAUUCUUCUUAAACUCAUGUUAAGUCCCUUCCCUAUACCAACUCCAUACCAUAUACAUUUUUUAUCAGGGUUUCUUUUCAGCCAGGUACGCCAACUUUAUCGACACUUUUAUUUCCCCAUACGAUUUUGCACCCUCAUAAUAACACAAUCACUCGAAUUUAUUGGUUCUAUUUAGAAAGAGAAAACUACAAACGCCGGAAUUCGUUUGAGCCCUCAGAGAGCACAACUCUCAUCAUCUCCAAUCCCAUCGCGGUCAUCUUCUACCUCAUCGCUUUCACGUACAUUCAAUUCGGCGAUGAGACUUGAAAGCACUUCUAGCUGCCCUUCAAGUCAACCUACUUCACUAAACUUUUGUCCCACACCUUCAACCUCAUCUACCAGCAAUUUAAACAAUAAGCAGAGGCGCCGACGCUCAUUCUAGACAACAGAGGUUAAAGAAAGUUGCAUAUUUUUUUGAGUUUACUUAAAUUCCAUGUAUUUAUCCGAUACUUUUCAUUUUAAGUCAAAGUAUUUAUCAGAGAAAAUUAAAAAAAUAUUUGUAAAUUAGAAUAAACUAAUUAUGCG
Molecule: unclassified non-coding RNA, 2995 nt
Organism: Bradysia coprophila
Lineage: Eukaryota; Metazoa; Arthropoda; Insecta; Diptera; Sciaridae
Source: RefSeq, a predicted model, not a curated record